UCAUCGGUAUGGGAUGGGGUCGCGUCCUAUCAGGUAGUCGGCGGGGUAACGGCCCACCGAGCCUACGACGGGUAGCCGGCCUGAGAGGGCGACCGGCCACAUUGGGACUGAGAUACGGCCCAGACUCCUACGGGAGGCAGCAGUGGGGAAUAUUGCACAAUGGGCGCAAGCCUGAUGCAGCGACGCCGCGUGCGGGAUGACGGCCUUCGGGUUGUAAACCGCUUUUGAUCGGGAGCAAGCCUUCGGGUGAGUGUACCUUUCGAAUAAGCACCGGCUAACUACGUGCCAGCAGCCGCGGUAAUACGUAGGGUGCAAGCGUUAUCCGGAAUUAUUGGGCGUAAAGGGCUCGUAGGCGGUUCGUCGCGUCCGGUGUGAAAGUCCAUCGCUUAACGGUGGAUCCGCGCCGGGUACGGGCGGGCUUGAGUGCGGUAGGGGAGACUGGAAUUCCCGGUGUAACGGUGGAAUGUGUAGAUAUCGGGAAGAACACCAAUCGAAUUC
RNAcentral lists this ribosomal RNA (498 nucleotides) under uncultured Bifidobacterium sp. Its description in RNAcentral is "bacterial SSU rRNA". It matches the Rfam family "Bacterial small subunit ribosomal RNA", at positions 212 to 722 of the family's 1533-position model. Lineage: Bacteria; Bacillati; Actinomycetota; Actinomycetes; Bifidobacteriales; Bifidobacteriaceae. The record is from RNAcentral.